AGAGUUUGAUCCUGGCUCAGAACGAACGCUGGCGGCGUGCUUAACACAUGCAAGUCGAACGCGAAAGGGACUUCGGUCCCGAGUAUAGUGGCGCACGGGUGAGUAACACGUAGGCAACCUACCCUUCAGUGGGGGACAACAGAGGGAAACUUCUGCUAAUACCGCAUACGGCCUUGUACUGGGAUGCACGAGGAGAAAGGAUUUAUUCGCUGAGGGAUGGGACUGCGGCCUAUCAGGUAGUUGGUGGGGUAAAGGCCUACCAAGCCUGCGACGGGUAGCCGGACUGAGAGGUCGACCGGCCACACUGGAACUGAGACACGGUCCAGACUCCUACGGGAGGCAGCAGUGGGGAAUAUUGCACAAUGGGGGAAACCCUGAUGCAGCGACGCCGCGUGGAGGAUGACGGCCUUCGGGUUGUAAACUCCUUUUGUCAGGGGCAAUGGUGAUGGUACCUGACGAAUAAGCCACGGCUAACUCUGUGCCAGCAGCCGCGGUAAGACAGAGGUGGCGAGCGUUGUUCGGAAUUACUGGGCUUACAGGGCGCGUAGGCGGUGGUGUAAGUCUGGGGUGGAAUGCUACAGCUCAACUGUAUAGCUGCCUUGGAUACUGCAUUACUUGAGUCAGUGAGGGGAAGGCGGAAUUCCUGGUGUAGCGGUGAAAUGCGUAGAUAUCAGGAGGAUGGUCUGUGGCGAAUGCGGCCUUCUGGCACUUGACUG
This 716-nucleotide ribosomal RNA is filed under the name uncultured Magnetobacterium sp. Its description in RNAcentral is "bacterial SSU rRNA". It matches the Rfam family "Bacterial small subunit ribosomal RNA", at positions 8 to 742 of the family's 1533-position model. The record is from RNAcentral. Lineage: Bacteria; Pseudomonadati; Nitrospirota; Thermodesulfovibrionia; Thermodesulfovibrionales; Magnetobacteriaceae (SeqCode).